Long non-coding RNA from Tribolium castaneum (red flour beetle), 2705 nucleotides. RefSeq lists it as uncharacterized. Lineage: Eukaryota; Metazoa; Arthropoda; Insecta; Coleoptera; Tenebrionidae. The transcript is spliced from 5 exons. The record is from RefSeq and is a predicted model, not a curated record.
AGAUUGUUGAUAAAAACAGAAAAAAAUUUAAAGUCGGAGAUUUCGUAAGAAUUAGCAAAGAAAAGAUGUUAUUUGAAAAAGGAUAUACACCCAAUUGGUCAACGGAAAUUUUUAAAAUCAGUAAGAUUAAUCUAACCAAUCCUGUAACAUUUCUGCUAGAAGAUAAAGAAGGUCAACCAAUCAAAGGAGCUUUUUAUAUUUGGGAAUUAUCAAAAACUCAAUAUCCUGACGUCUAUUUAGUUGAGAAAGUGAUUCGACGUAAAGGAACUAAAUUAUUUGUGAAAUGGUUAGGUUUACCAGAUAAUCAGAAUAGUUGGAUUGAAAUGAAAGAUAUUACCUAAUAAAUAAGAAAUAUAUAUACGAUAUAAUUAUUUAACGUCUAAUUUAGUUCCAUUUAAGAUGGCAACGAGUGUAGAACCUGUUAUAAAAAAAGUGCUGCAUUUUGAAAAAACCAUAAGCGAUAUUCGAUUACUAAUGAAACUGGAACUACUGAAAUUAGGACCGUGCCAGUUGAUGGAUAUAUUUCAUAAAUUACCGGAAACAUAUCAACAAGAUCAUGAUAUAAAGCUGAAUCUACCAUGUUUACAACAUUAUUAUAACAGUUUUGACGAAGAUCAGUUUGAUGGUCCUCCUUCAUCAAUAAAUAAUUGUGUUUCGUGUAUUUUAGAUGAUACAGGAAGCCAACAACAACAACAACAACAACAACAACAACAACAACAACCCACUGCGUUUCAAGUGUAAUGCCUCUUUUGAACUCAUCACUCAUCUUAUAUGUACAUCGUCUUCACUAGUGAAAGUCCUAACAACACAAGAUGGUCUCCUCUCUGGAAAAGUUUAUUUUUCAACGAUGUUGAUUACCAAUGGAAGAAGAUGAAUCUGGGUUAUUUGAGCAAUACUGCAAUAGAAAUAUUUAAAUAUGAAAAUGUUUCUAUAGCAAACUCUGUAAUAUAUUUUAAAUUAAGACUAGUUUUUACCAAUAGUAAUUAUAUUGAUACUGACUGGAAGAGACUUAUACUUAAUGAUCAUGAUGUAGUUUCAAUAAAAAAUUGUUUUAAUCAUGUUCCUACCUUUUUAGCAAUGUUUGGAAUUGUUUGUACAUGUUGGAUCGUUUUUAUGAUGUUCAUAGCGUUAGGUUUGGCUUAAAAACUGCAAUUAAAAAUUUAUUUAGGUGUAUGACUUUGUUAGUUUAAGUAUGUAGUUUGUUUUAUGUCUAAUAAAAAAUAAUAUUCAUUCUGAUUAUUUUUGUUAUCAUAUUUCCUGUCUAACGUUUUUUUCCUUAAAAACGUUAAAUUUUUAUCAGUUAUAUUUUGAAUUUUUUGAAUUUUUACGUAAGGAACCACAAUAUCCGGUUGCAAAGUUUAUGGAAUAUAAAAUCAUAUCGCAUCAAUGAUUAAUUCAUUUCUACUUCGACUGUCCGUGUAUGAAAGUAAUCAUGUUCAAGUGCUCUCAAUGCGAUAACAAGUUUACUCGCAAAGAUGCUUUAACACGUCAUGUAAAAAAACAUAGUGAUAAAUUAUCUAAACUCACUUGCACCGGAUGUAAAACGUCAUUUACGAGAUUUGAUAACUAUAGGCGUCAUAUUACAAAUUCAUCAUUGUGUUCAAUGGAUUCGGAUGAUAUGACUCCUAAAAAAGCCCGCCUGACAACUAGAACACCUUUACAAGAAGUUACUACUAACGCUCCAUCAUGUUCAUUUCAUCAAUUUUGUGAAAUAUGCAAUAGUCACUACAGAGGAUCCAGAUUAAACCAUUUACGUUCUUUAAAACAUAAAAGUGUCAUCUCCGCCAAAAUUAAUGAUGAUGAUGAUUUCGUUGAAGAAUAUCAAGUUGCCUUCAAAUCAAGAAUUACCUCAUACCGAUUGAAAAAUUCACAACUAGAUGACUUGGAAGUGUGCAAUUUUUUUGAAAGAAAUCAAGAUAAACUUAUCACUUUAAUAACUAGAAAACUGAGAGAAUUUAACCAACUUAAAAUUAAUUUCGAACUUUUUGCUAAAUAUAUUUUACCUUCUAAAGACAUUAUCGAAAUCAAAUCAUUCAACACUAAAAAUAUCAUCAUUUCAAUAUCGACAAAUAUUAAGGUAGAACUGGAAGAAAUAUGUGGCGUCAUAAAAAAACAAAAUGAGUGAAUUCUUGGAAAAAGAUAGUGGUUGGAUUUUAAUGGAAAUUUUGUUUUUGGAACUUAAUAUCAACAAAUUCAAUCCACUACGUGCAUCAACAUAUAUACCAUUACCGAAGGACAUAGCGAAGCGGAGAGCGGUAUCAAUAUUCAUAAUGAUGAUAAUGAAUGUUUCAAAUGGUCUGUUUUGGCACACCUUCAUUCAACUGAAGUAAAUGUUAAUCGACAUCGAGUUGAUGCUUAUCGUGAGUUUGAAGAGGAAUUAGAUUUUACAGAUAUUUCAUUUCCGGUUAAAUUAACUGAUAUUUUUAAAUUUGAAGCACUUAAUAAUAUUAGUGUAAAUGUCUAUGGAACAGAGCAGCGUUUUGAUCAUGAAAAAGGUAAAUGGGUAUCAGAUAUUAUAGGUCCCUUUAUUUAACUUCUAAGAAACGAGACAUUCAUGUAAAUUUAUUACUUAUCGUAGACGAUGAAAGAAUGAUCAAACAUUACUGUCUGAUAAGCAACAUUUCUCGAUUAAUAAGUUCACAACUUUCCAAACAUAAUCAUGCUAAAUUUAUAUGUAACGGUUGUCUAUUAUUUUUUUCGAGUGA